GAUUUGCUGCGGCGUUGGUGACUGCCAACAAUGUUUUAUGAUCUAUGUUUUUUGAAUCUGGGAGUCUAACAAGGCUGAUGGCAGUAGACCGAGCUUGUACUCGGAAACUUUAUAUCCGCCACUUUGACACCCACCUGGUAUUACACCAGGUCAAAAGCUGAGGUAAGACGGCGCUGCGGUAUCCUA
This 186-nucleotide non-coding RNA is filed under the name Plectolyngbya sp. WJT66-NPBG17. RNAcentral describes it as "6S RNA". It matches the Rfam family "6S / SsrS RNA". From Rfam's summary of the family: E. coli 6S RNA was the first non coding RNA to be sequenced, but its function was unknown until recently. It consists of 184 nucleotides that fold into an extended hairpin structure with a large single-stranded internal bulge. Lineage: Bacteria; Bacillati; Cyanobacteriota; Cyanophyceae; Leptolyngbyales; Leptolyngbyaceae. RNAcentral also lists the same sequence under 1 other name. The record is from RNAcentral.